UCUUUAAUGUUCUAUAUGUUCUUGUGCUUCCUGCUCUAAUCCAUUCUUAGGGUUUCUCUGAUUUGGUUCAACAAGUGUUAUUUAUCGUUUAAUAGGUCCAACUAUUUGUUUUAUUGAUUGUUCACAUAAUAAUUUAUAUUGAUUUUGUGUAAUCUCCUUAGACCUGUGAUGCCUUCCCUGAAUAUGUGAUUUUGUGUAUUUUCCUUGUAAUUCUGUACUAAUUUUUCGAAUUGCUUCCUUACUUUUGUGAUACUUUCCUUAGUUAGUGCCGAUUCCCUGUGAUUAUCAAUCUCAUUCGUGAUUCUUUGAACUAACUUUCAGAAAUAAAAUUGUACUAUACCCUAUUUAUGUCAACAAAUAUGCUGUUAGUAAUUUAACGUGUACUGCCUUUACUUGAAAAUAUUCUGUACGUAGUCAUUAU
This 421-nucleotide long non-coding RNA is filed under the name Nicotiana benthamiana. RNAcentral describes it as "long non-coding RNA (NBEN_LNC019530)". The record is from RNAcentral. Lineage: Eukaryota; Viridiplantae; Streptophyta; Magnoliopsida; Solanales; Solanaceae.